Molecule: ribosomal RNA, 455 nt
Filed under: uncultured bacterium
Lineage: Bacteria
Description: bacterial SSU rRNA
Rfam family: Bacterial small subunit ribosomal RNA
Source: RNAcentral
UACGGAAGGCAGCAGUGGGGAAUAUUGCACAAUGGGCGCAAGCCUGAUGCAGCCAUGCCGCGUGUAUGAAGAAGGCCUUCGGGUUGUAAAGUACUUUCAGCGGGGAGGAAGGCGAUGCGGUUAAUAACCGCGUCGAUUGACGUUACCCGCAGAAGAAGCACCGGCUAACUCCGUGCCAGCAGCCGCGGUAAUACGGAGGGUGCAAGCGUUAAUCGGAAUUACUGGGCGUAAAGCGCACGCAGGCGGUCUGUUAAGUCAGAUGUGAAAUCCCCGGGCUUAACCUGGGAACUGCAUUUUGAAACUGGCAGGCUUGAGUCUUGUAGAGGGGGUAGAAUUCCAGGUGUAGCGGUGAAAUGCGUAGAGAUCUGGAGGAAUACCGGUGGCGAAGGCGGCCCCUGGGACAAGACUGACGCUCAGGUGCGAAAGCGUGGGGAGCGAAACAGGAUUAGGAUACC